GGGGUUGUAGCUCAGUGGUAGAGCGCUCGCUUUGCAUGCGAGAGGCCUAGGGUUCAAUCCCCUACUGCUCCA
This is a transfer RNA of 72 nucleotides. It matches the Rfam family "tRNA". From Rfam's summary of the family: Transfer RNA (tRNA) molecules are approximately 80 nucleotides in length. Their secondary structure includes four short double-helical elements and three loops (D, anti-codon, and T loops). The record is from Rfam.